This is a long non-coding RNA of Pezoporus occidentalis (night parrot), 710 nucleotides long. RefSeq lists it as uncharacterized. The record is from RefSeq and is a predicted model, not a curated record. Lineage: Eukaryota; Metazoa; Chordata; Aves; Psittaciformes; Psittacidae. The transcript is spliced from 2 exons.
CACAGUACUCUCUCUUCCUUAUGCAUCUACAAGAUCCAAACUUCUCUCACAGUGCAGGAUGAUCAGGGAACAUAACAGUGCCAGAAGACAUUUUAAAGUUAAAACAUGGGCCUGAAUUCCAGAAGAAUGAAGUGAUCUGGGGAGACAAAGGUUGCUAUUUCUCUUGUAUCUUUUUCCAAAUUCACCUUGGAAUUCCCAUCUUGUCAAAUUCAAUUAAAAUAAUCCAGGUAAAGAAUAUCUAAUUGACUUUCUCUGCCUAAGUAAGUAAAACCGGUACAGCUUAUUUUGUGAAAACAACAUGGCAUUCCAUUUCACUUCCUAAUUAUUUUCUGAAAGUUUCAAGGUUUAUUGGAAGCCUCAGUGCUGUUACAUGCAGCAGACUGUGCACAGACCAGAGACACUCAGCUUCUAGAGUUUAUUUACAAGGCUCUCAAAUGUUGGCACUGCAAAACUUGAUGGAUCUCUUCACUUUCCUUGCUCUUAGGAUCUUCUUUAUGUCAUGGCAGGCCAGGACUGUUUGAAAAUUACAGUGGAAAGCUACACUGUAAAUUAGUACACUAGUAAACUUUCUAACUGAUUUGUUAGCCUUAAUGUCAAGUAAGUUUUCUUUUCAUGGGUAGUACUAUUGCUCUUUGGAACCUGUUUUGUUUCUUUUUUUUAUAUUCUGUGUCUUUAUAUGUAAACUUCAAUAAAGUUAUUUACAAAAUAAA